UUUUUUCCAACAGAAACAGGUUUUACAAACCAGUAAAUUAAUAGGGAAUCGUGUGAGAAUCACGAGCUGUCGCGCAACUGUAAGUAACGCAAACAACUGCCGUUCAUAAGCGUCCACUGGAAUAAUAAAUGAAUGAAUGACUGAAUGAUUGAAUGAUUGAAUAUUCAGUCAUUCAGUCAUUCAAUCAUUCAAAAUUCUGGGAAGGACGAACGUCAGGUUACAAGCCAGGAGACCUGCCUUUUUCAAAGUUGACGAU
Molecule: non-coding RNA, 256 nt
Filed under: Dyadobacter linearis
Lineage: Bacteria; Pseudomonadati; Bacteroidota; Cytophagia; Cytophagales; Spirosomataceae
Source: RNAcentral